UCACCACCAAAAGAGUUAAACACAGGGACACAUUUGAAGUCUCGGAGCCGGGUGUUGGUUCCGGUAGUGAUCGAGGGAAGUUAGUACCGAAGUCCGGGAUGGAAGAUGGCGAGAAAAGCUGUGUGUAUUUCUGCGGUGCCCGUACCGCAAACCGACACAGGUAGGUAGGAAGAGGAUUCUAAGGCCAACGGGAGAAGGGUUGUUAAGGAACUCGGCAAAUUGACCCCGUAACUUCGGGAGAAGGGGUGCUCCAGAGAUGGAGCCGCAGAGAAUCGGCCCAAGCAACUGUUUACCAAAAACACAGGUUUGUGCUAAAUCGAAAGAUGACGUAUACGAGCUGACGCCUGCCCGGUGCUGGAAGGUUAAGAGGAGAUGUGCAAGCAUUGAAUCGAAGCCCCAGUGAACGGCGGCCGUAACUAUAACGGUCCUAAGGUAGCGAAAUUCCUUGUCAGGUAAGUUCUGACCCGCAUGAAAGACGUAAUGAUUUGGGCACUGUCUCGACAGCCCGCCCGGCGAAAUUGUAGUACCGGUGAAGAUGCCGGUCACCCGCGACAAGACGGAAAGACCCCAUGGAGCUUUACUGUAGCCUAAUAUUGGGUUUCGAUGUUGCAUGCACAGGAUAGAUGGGACACUGGGAAGCAAGUGCUUUGGCAUUUGUGGAGUGGCCGUUGGGAUACCAUCCUUGCGAUAUUGGAAUUCUAACCUGCGCCUUUGAAUCAAGGCGGGGGACAUUGUUAGGUGGGCAGUUUGACUGGGGCGGUCGCCUCCUAAAGAGUAACGGAGGCGUUCAAAGGUUCGCUCAGCUUGAACGGAAAUCAAGCAAAAGAGUGCAAACGCAGAAGCGAGCCUAACUGCGAGACUGACGGGUCGAGCAGUAACGAAAGUCGGAGUUAGUGAUCCGGUGGUAUGUGAGUGGAAAUGCCAUCGCUCAACGGAUAAAAGUUACCCUGGGGAUAACAGGCUGAUCUCCCCCAAGAGUCCACAUCGACGGGGAGGUUUGGCACCUCGUUGUCGGCUCAUCGCAUCCUGGGGCUGUAUUCGGUCCCAAGGGUUUGGCUGUUCGCCAAUUAAAGCGGUACGCGAGCUGGGUUCAGAACGUCGUGAGACAGUUCGGUCCCUAUCUGUCGUGGGCGCAGGAUGUUGAUGGGAGCUGUUCCUAGUACGAGAGGACCGGAGCGGACGUACCUCUGGCGCACCAGUUGUUCUGCCAAGGGCAUAGCUGGGCAACUAUGUACGGAUCGGAUAAACGCUGAAAGCAUCUAAGCGUGAAGCCGGCCCAAAGAUAAGAUAUCCCAUUGUUUCAAACAAGUAAGACCCCUUGAAGACUACAAGGUUGAUAGGCAUGAUGUGUAAGUGGAGUGAUCCAUUCAGCAAGCAUGUACUAAUAGGUCGAGGGCUUGACCU
This 1404-nucleotide ribosomal RNA is filed under the name metagenome. RNAcentral describes it as "bacterial LSU rRNA". It matches the Rfam family "Bacterial large subunit ribosomal RNA", at positions 1441 to 2925 of the family's 2925-position model. The record is from RNAcentral.